This 497-nucleotide ribosomal RNA is filed under the name uncultured bacterium. RNAcentral describes it as "partial 16S ribosomal RNA". It matches the Rfam family "Bacterial small subunit ribosomal RNA", at positions 28 to 507 of the family's 1533-position model. The record is from RNAcentral.
GAUGAACGCUGGCGGCGUGCCUAAUACAUGCAAGUCGAGCGAACAGACGAGGAGCUUGCUCCUCUGACGUUAGCGGCGGACGGGUGAGUAACACGUGGAUAACCUACCUAUAAGACUGGGAUAACUUCGGGAAACCGGAGCUAAUACCGGAUAAUAUAUUGAACCGCAUGGUUCAAUAGUGAAAGAAGGUUUUGCUGUCACUUAUAGAUGGAUCCGCGCCGCAUUAGCUAGUUGGUAAGGUAACGGCUUACCAAGGCAACGAUGCGUAGCCGACCUGAGAGGGUGAUGUGCCACACUGGAAAUGGGACACGGUCCAGACACCUACGGGAGGCAGCAGUAGGGAAUCUUCCGCGAUGGGCGAAAGCUUGACGGAGCAACACCGCGUGAGUGAUGAAGGUCUUCGGAUCGUAAAACUCUUUUAUUAGGGAAGAACAAAUGUGUAAGUAACUAUGCACGUCUUGACGGUACCUAAUCAGAGAGCCACGGCUAACUACGUG